AGAGUUUGAUCCUGGCUCAGGAUGAACGCUAGCGACAGGCUUAACACAUGCAAGUCGAGGGGCAGCACAGGUAGCAAUACCGGGUGGCGACCGGCGCACGGGUGAGUAACGCGUAUGCAACUUGCCUAUCAGAGGGGGAUAACCCGGCGAAAGUCGGACUAAUACCGCAUGAAGCAGGGGCCCCGCAUGGGGAUAUUUGCUAAAGAUUCAUCGCUGAUAGAUAGGCAUGCGUUCCAUUAGGCAGUUGGCGGGGUAACGGCCCACCAAACCGACGAUGGAUAGGGGUUCUGAGAGGAAGGUCCCCCACAUUGGUACUGAGACACGGACCAAACUCCUACGGGAGGCAGCAGUGAGGAAUAUUGGUCAAUGGGCGUAAGCCUGAACCAGCCAAGUCGCGUGAGGGAUGAAGGUUCUAUGGAUCGUAAACCUCUUUUAUAAGGGAAUAAAGUGCGGGACGUGUCCCGUUUUGUAUGUACCUUAUGAAUAAGGAUCGGCUAACUCCGUGCCAGCAGCCGCGGUAAUACGGAGGAUCCGAGCGUUAUCCGGAUUUAUUGGGUUUAAAGGGUGCGUAGGCGGCCUUUUAAGUCAGCGGUGAAAGUCUGUGGCUCAACCAUAGAAUUGCCGUUGAAACUGGGGGGCUUGAGUAUGUUUGAGGCAGGCGGAAUGCGUGGUGUAGCGGUGAAAUGCAUAGAUAUCACGCAGAACCCCGAUUGCGAAGGCAGCCUGCCAAGCCAUUACUGACGCUGAUGCACGAAAGCGUGGGGAUCAAACAGGAUUAGAUACCCUGGUAGUCCACGCAGUAAACGAUGAUCACUAGCUGUUUGCGAUACACUGUAAGCGGCACAGCGAAAGCGUUAAGUGAUCCACCUGGGGAGUACGCCGGCAACGGUGAAACUCAAAGGAAUUGACGGGGGCCCGCACAAGCGGAGGAACAUGUGGUUUAAUUCGAUGAUACGCGAGGAACCUUACCCGGGUUUGAACGCAUUUUGACAGCUCUGGAAACAGAGCCUCUAGCAAUAGCGAUUUGCGAGGUGCUGCAUGGUUGUCGUCAGCUCGUGCCGUGAGGUGUCGGCUUAAGUGCCAUAACGAGCGCAACCCUUGCCACUAGUUACUAACAGGUAAAGCUGAGGACUCUGGUGGGACUGCCAGCGUAAGCUGCGAGGAAGGCGGGGAUGACGUCAAAUCAGCACGGCCCUUACAUCCGGGGCGACACACGUGUUACAAUGGCGUGGACAAAGGGAGGCCACCUGGCGACAGGGAGCGAAUCCCCAAACCACGUCUCAGUUCGGAUCGGAGUCUGCAACCCGACUCCGUGAAGCUGGAUUCGCUAGUAAUCGCGCAUCAGCCAUGGCGCGGUGAAUACGUU
Molecule: ribosomal RNA, 1366 nt
Filed under: Parabacteroides distasonis str. 3999B T(B) 6
Lineage: Bacteria; Pseudomonadati; Bacteroidota; Bacteroidia; Bacteroidales; Tannerellaceae
Description: bacterial SSU rRNA
Rfam family: Bacterial small subunit ribosomal RNA
Source: RNAcentral